AUGCUUACUGCUCUCCACGAGUUCAAUUCAUGUGUCAUGUGCAAAGGUGCUGCCGAAGAAUUUCAGAUCUUGGCAAACUCCUAUCAAGGCCCUGGUGCAUUCACCACAAAGGUAUUUUUUGCAGUGGUGGAUUAUGAUGAAAGCCCUGAGGUCUUUGAAGCGCUCCAGGUGACGUCAGUUCCGAGUUUCUUCCACUUUUCUGCCCAGUGGAAAUUUACAACAGAUGACAUUUAUAAUUUGAGAGGAAGGGAUAUCGUUGCUGACCAAAUGGCUGAAUGGGUAGCAGAGAGAACACAUGUCAGCGUCAGAAUCAGACAGCCUGCAAAUUACCAUGGUCUCCUCAAGCUGGGGAUACUUUUGGCUCUCACUGGCGGACUUGGGUAUUUCUUGAAAUGGAAUAGGAAAUCUAUUUCUUGCAGAAUCUUGUGCGAAGUUUUAACUCUGUGCUUUGUGAUUGUGAUGACGUCUGGUCAAAUGUGGACUUAUAUAAGAGGAGAACCAUAUGUCCAAAGGGACCCUCGCACAGGACAUAAGCAUUAUAUCAGCAAAUUUAGUCAGGCUCAGUUUGCAGCAGAAACAUUCAUUAUUUCCCUGUUUAAUAUGUGUGUUACCCUGGGAGUGGUGCUGUUAGAUAAGGCUGCCACCUCGACGAUGAACAUCAUAAAGAGAAGGAUGAUGUGUCUGGCUGGUACGUGUCUUGUUGCCAUAUUCUUCAGUUGGCUGCUUUCCCUCUUUAGAUUUAAAGUACCUGACUAUCCAUACAGGUUUCUCUGGGAUUAAAAAGGAUCCUACAGACAUAGACAAUGAAGCAAGAAAUUUGAAAAAAAAAAAUGUGAAGCAGAAAAAUGCAAACUCGUAACUUUUUAAAGUAAUUGAGAUUUCACCAAAAGAGACCAUAAGUGCCUUAAGUGCUUUCAAAAUCUGUGAAGUAUUAUAGUUUGUGUCUUCUCUGUUCUUAAUUUUUCUCCCCCAGUGUUAUAGAUUACUUCAAGUUGAAUUAUUAAAAUCUUUAGAGAGUACAACUUU
This is an RNA transcript of Mandrillus leucophaeus (drill), 1026 nucleotides long. It is a transcript of the gene named magnesium transporter protein 1 pseudogene, with no coding region annotated. The transcript has a single exon. Lineage: Eukaryota; Metazoa; Chordata; Mammalia; Primates; Cercopithecidae. The record is from RefSeq and is a predicted model, not a curated record.